CUAACGCUAGCGGGAGGCCUAACACAUGCAAGCCGAGCGGUAUUGUUUCUUUCGGAAAUGAGAGAGCGGCGUACGGGUGCGGAACACGUGUGCAACCUGCCUUUAUCUGGGGGAUAGCCUUUCGAAAGGAAGAUUAAUACUCCAUAAUAUAUUGAACGGCAUCGUUUAAUAUUGAAAGCUCCGGCGGAUAGAGAUGGGCACGCGCAAGAUUAGCUAGUUGGUGAGGUAACGGCUCACCAAGGCGAUGAUCUUUAGGGGGCCUGAGAGGGUGAUCCCCCACACUGGUACUGAGACACGGACCAGACUCCUACGGGAGGCAGCAGUGAGGAAUAUUGGUCAAUGGGUGCAAGCCUGAACCAGCCAUCCCGCGUGAAGGACGACUGCCCUAUGGGUUGUAAACUUCUUUUGUAUAGGGAUAAACCUACCCUCGUGAGGGUAGCUGAAGGUACUAUACGAAUAAGUACCGAGNCACU
Molecule: ribosomal RNA, 473 nt
Filed under: soil isolate KBS-LC4
Lineage: Bacteria
Description: bacterial SSU rRNA
Rfam family: Bacterial small subunit ribosomal RNA
Source: RNAcentral